Long non-coding RNA from Oncorhynchus gorbuscha (pink salmon), 381 nucleotides. RefSeq lists it as uncharacterized. The transcript is spliced from 3 exons. The record is from RefSeq and is a predicted model, not a curated record. NCBI's taxonomy places the organism in Eukaryota, Metazoa, Chordata, Actinopteri, Salmoniformes, Salmonidae.
GGGGAGGGGUUAACAUUUGUUUUGACAUAGAGAAGCCACCGCAGUUGACAGUGCUGGAGAGACUAAAACACGGCUUUUUGUAUUUCAUCAGACAAUUUAGCUAACUACGUUGUGUAUCUGCGACAUCUCCGUGUGAAAUGGUGUGACUGAUCAUCAACUCCUGCAGUUACGUGUUGCGGCGCAUCCGGGCUGCAGUGAGAAGGGGAGAGCAGCCAGAGAAGCCCACCGCAGAAUGUAGCCAGGCCAAGGCGUGGAAGGAGGAGGGUAUGCAGAAGAAUGGACAGGUGGAGCCGGUGUUCAAACCCCUGGUAACGGAGCCGGAACCAGGCCUGAAGGUGGCAGAGUGUGCCUCUGGUGAAUGACGUUAGAGAGGGACGGAUA